UUAUUACAUUACACUUUUAAUUUUUAAAAUCUUAAUUUACCAAAACUUUUGAAUUAUUACAAUCAGGACUCACAAUCUAAUUUAGUUAAGUAAAAAUUAAUAUAUUAUUAAUGUGAAAGUAAUAUUACAGUGUUACGAUUGAUGAUGUGAUAGUAAUUGCAAUGUUAUGUCAUUUUACAUCAACGAUAUGUUUAUAUUUAUUCAACAAAAUUGAAUUAUGAGAUUUGAUUGUAAUAGUUUAUAAUGUUUGAAUUAGAAGUUACAAUAAAUUAAAGGUUUGUAAAUUAAAAUAUUAAUAUAUUAUUGAUGUGAAAGUAAUGUUGUAAUACUAUGAUUAAUAAUAUGGUGAUAAUUAAAAUGUCAUAUCACUUUACAUCGGCAGUACAUUCAUAGUUAUCAAUUAAAUUGAAUUGUGAGUUUUAACGACAAUAAUUUAU
RNAcentral lists this long non-coding RNA (437 nucleotides) under Ananas comosus (pineapple). RNAcentral describes it as "long non-coding RNA (ACOM_LNC011145)". The record is from RNAcentral. Lineage: Eukaryota; Viridiplantae; Streptophyta; Magnoliopsida; Poales; Bromeliaceae.